Entelurus aequoreus (snake pipefish) is the source of this 922-nucleotide long non-coding RNA. RefSeq lists it as uncharacterized. The record is from RefSeq and is a predicted model, not a curated record. The transcript has 3 exons. NCBI's taxonomy places the organism in Eukaryota, Metazoa, Chordata, Actinopteri, Syngnathiformes, Syngnathidae.
CUUCCUCUUCUUCUUCUUUAUCUUCUUAGCGCCUGCAAAAUAAAAAUAAAAAACAAACGACUUUAGCCGCAUGUGGCGCUGUCGAUUUCACUCAACACUUUCACAUUCGUACUCGGAAACAAACCCCCACCUCCUAAGUACGACCCCGCCUACUUCUAAGAGCGCCAAAUUCAUUUUGCAAAAAGACAGUCUAGUGUGAACAUCUCCUACAGCCGCUUAAAAAACAUGCAAAAAGCAACAACAACAAAAAACUUACCGCAGAUAGGUGUAGGACUUUUGUCGUCUUUUUCGAUAAUGUUGUCCUCAAGCAAGUCUUCGGUGUGGAGAGUAUUUUGUGGGAAAAACCCCUCUUCUUUCACCGCGAGCAAGCCUUCAGCCUCCGCUGGAACGUCAUUGUUCUUCAAUGUCAACCUCCUCGACACUUUUUGGCGGGAGACCCGUUAAAGGCGUCCAACGCGCCAGAGGCGUAAAAGAAACAUCUGAACCACCACCACCGGAGUAAACACCCCGCAUUCAGAGUUAAAAGACUCCAAAGAAAAGACGUCUGGUUCGGUCGACUGAGGCUGAUAGGAUCCGUUGAUUUUAGGAGCACGGAGACUGGCACGAAAAAACCAACGACCUGAGGCCAAAAAAUCCUACUUUUCCGAGGAGCGUCGUAGUAAGUUUUAUCAUUUUUAUAAAUUGAAACUGGCGUUUCGCUAAUCAUGCCUACUGAAACAACAGCUUUCUCCAUCUUUUCCAUUUUCUCUUAAUGCUCGUACUAACAAAGACUUACCAUUCACAUAUACCAGUGUAUGUGUGUGUGUGUACGUACAUGUGUUAAUACUCAAAAAGUCGUAAAUCGCAUUUUGACAUAAAGUGUCUCCCCCCUUAGCCCCACCUUCCUCUGACCUCCCCUUCACCCCACCCCUCCUCUUACAGG